This 407-nucleotide ribosomal RNA is filed under the name uncultured bacterium. RNAcentral describes it as "partial 16S ribosomal RNA". It matches the Rfam family "Bacterial small subunit ribosomal RNA", at positions 30 to 526 of the family's 1533-position model. The record is from RNAcentral.
AUUGAACGCUGGCGGCAGGCUUAACACAUGCAAGUCGAGCGGCUCGCGGGACGGGUGCGUAAUAGCUAGGAAUCGGCCUGGGAGUGGUGGAUAGCGUUAGGAAACGGGCGCUAAUACCAAUACCUAUCAGAUGAGGCUAGGUCGGAUUAGAAAGUUGGUGGGGUAAAGGCCUACCAAGGCGACGAUCCGUAACUGGUCUGAGAGGAUGAUCAGUCACACUGGAACUGAGACACGGUCCAGACUCCUACGGGAGGCAGCAGUGGGGAAUAUUGGGCAAUGGGCGAAAGCCUGAUCCAGCCAUGCCGCGUGUGUGAAGAAGGUCUUCGGAUUGUAAAGCACUUUAAGUUGGGAGGCGUUACCAACAGAAGAAGCACCGGCUAACUUCGUGCCAGCAGCCGCGGUAAUUC